Transfer RNA from Ovis aries (sheep), 72 nucleotides. It matches the Rfam family "tRNA". From Rfam's summary of the family: Transfer RNA (tRNA) molecules are approximately 80 nucleotides in length. Lineage: Eukaryota; Metazoa; Chordata; Mammalia; Artiodactyla; Bovidae. The record is from Rfam.
UCCCUGGUGGCUCAGACCAUAAAGCAUCUGCCUGCAACACAGAAGACCCAGGUUCGAUCCCUGGGUCGGGAA